RNAcentral lists this ribosomal RNA (263 nucleotides) under uncultured bacterium. RNAcentral's name for it is "partial 16S ribosomal RNA". It matches the Rfam family "Bacterial small subunit ribosomal RNA", at positions 524 to 787 of the family's 1533-position model. The record is from RNAcentral.
UACAGAGGUCCCGAGCGUUGUUCGGAUUCAUUGGGCGUAAAGGGUGCGUAGGCGGCGGGGCAAGUCUGAUGUGAAAUCCUGGGGCUCAACCCUGGAACUGCAUUGGAUACUGCCUUGCUAGAGUACUGGAGAGGAAACUGGAAUUUACGGUGUAGCAGUGAAAUGCGUAGAGAUCGUAAGGAAGACCAGUGGCGAAGGCGGUUGUCUGGGCUGAUACUGACGCUGAGGCGACGAAGCCAGGGGAGCGAACGGGAUAGAAACCC